UACGGGGGGGGCAAGCGUUGUUCGGAAUUACUGGGCGUAAAGGGCUCGUAGGUGGCCAACUAAGUCAGACGUGAAAUCCCCAGGCUCAACUUGGGAACUGCGUCUGAUACUGGAUGGCUUGAAUUCGGGAGAGGGAUGCAGAAUUCCAGGUGUAGCGGUGAAAUGCGUAGAUAUCUGGAGGAAUACCGGUGGCGAAGGCGGCAUCCUGGACCGAGAUUGACACUGAUGAGCGAAAGCCAGGGGAGCGAACGGG
Molecule: ribosomal RNA, 253 nt
Filed under: uncultured bacterium
Lineage: Bacteria
Description: partial 16S ribosomal RNA
Rfam family: Bacterial small subunit ribosomal RNA
Source: RNAcentral